CAGGCUUAACACAUGCAAGUCGAGGGGCAGCAUGGUCUUAGCUUGCUAAGGCCGAUGGCGACCGGCGCACGGGUGAGUAACACGUAUCCAACCUACCGUCUACUCUUGGACAGCCUUCUGAAAGGAAGAUUAAUACAAGAUGGCAUCAUGAGUCCGCAUGUUCACAUGAUUAAAGGUAUUCCGGUAGACGAUGGGGAUGCGUUCCAUUAGAUAGUAGGCGGGGUAACGGCCCACCUAGUCUUCGAUGGAUAGGGGUUCUGAGAGGAAGGUCCCCCACAUUGGAACUGAGACACGGUCCAAACUCCUACGGGAGGCAGCAGUGAGGAAUAUUGGUCAAUGGGCGAGAGCCUGAACCAGCCAAGUAGCGUGAAGGAUGACUGCCCUAUGGGUUGUAAACUUCUUUUAUAAAGGAAUAAAGUCGGGUAUGGAUACCCGUUUGCAUGUACUUUAUGAAUAAGGAUCGGCUAACUCCGUGCCAGCAGCCGCGGUAAUACGGAGGAUCCGAGCGUUAUCCGGAUUUAUUGGGUUUAAAGGGAGCGUAGAUGGAUGUUUAAGUCAGUUGUGAAAGUUUGCGGCUCAACCGUAAAAUUGCAGUUGAUACUGGAUAUCUUGAGUGCAGUUGAGGCAGGCGGAAUUCGUGGUGUAGCGGUGAAAUGCUUUAGAUAUCACGAAGAACUCCGAUUGCGAAGGCAGCCUGCUAAGCUGCAACUGACAUUGAGGCUCGAAAGUGUGGGUAUCAAACAGGAUUAGAUACCCUGGUAGUCCACACGGUAAACGAUGAAUACUCGCUGUUUGCGAUAUACUGCAAGCGGCCAAGCGAAAGCGUUAAGUAUUCCACCUGGGGAGUACGCCGGCAACGGUGAAACUCAAAGGAAUUGACGGGGGCCCGCACAAGCGGAGGAACAUGUGGUUUAAUUCGAUGAUACGCGAGGAACCUUACCCGGGCUUAAAUUGCAGAUGAAUUACGGUGAAAGCCGUAAGCCGCAAGGCAUCUGUGAAGGUGCUGCAUGGUUGUCGUCAGCUCGUGCCGUGAGGUGUCGGCUUAAGUGCCAUAACGAGCGCAACCCUUGUUGUCAGUUACUAACAGGUUCCGCUGAGGACUCUGACAAGACUGCCAUCGUAAGAUGUGAGGAAGGUGGGGAUGACGUCAAAUCAGCACGGCCCUUACGUCCGGGGCUACACACGUGUUACAAUGGGGGGUACAGAGGGCCGCUACCACGCGAGUGGAUGCCAAUCCCCAAAACCUCUCUCAGUUCGGACUGGGGUCUGCAACCCGACUCCACGAAGCUGGAUUCGCUAGUAAUCGCGCAUCAGCCACGGCGCGGUGAAUACGUUCCCGGGCCUUGUACACACCGCCCGUCAAGCCAUGGGAGCCGGGGGUACCUGAAGUGCGUAACCGCGAGGAGCGCCCUAGGGUAAAACUGGUGACUGGGGCUAAGUAG
This 1442-nucleotide ribosomal RNA is filed under the name uncultured organism. RNAcentral describes it as "SSU rRNA". It matches the Rfam family "Bacterial small subunit ribosomal RNA". The record is from RNAcentral.